CCCUUAGACGUUCUGGGCCGCACGCGCGCUACACUGACCAGUGCAACAAGCAUCCGUCCUUGGCCGACAGGCUCGGGCAAUCUUUGAACGCUGGUCGUGAUGGGGAUAGACUUUUGCAAUUUUUGGUCUUCAACGAGGAAUUCCUAGUAAACGCAAGUCAUCAGCUUGCAUUGAUUACGUCCCUGCCCUUUGUACACACCGCCCGUCGCACCUACCGAUUGAAUGGUCCGGUGAAAUCUCGGGACGGCGGCUUGGUCGCUUGCGUCCGACUGCUGAAACUUGAUUAAACCAUAUCAUUUAGAGGAAGGUGAAGUCGUANCA
RNAcentral lists this ribosomal RNA (321 nucleotides) under uncultured eukaryote. Its description in RNAcentral is "partial 18S ribosomal RNA". It matches the Rfam family "Eukaryotic small subunit ribosomal RNA", at positions 1470 to 1796 of the family's 1831-position model. The record is from RNAcentral.